Long non-coding RNA from Mytilus californianus (California mussel), 6631 nucleotides. RefSeq lists it as uncharacterized. The record is from RefSeq and is a predicted model, not a curated record. The transcript has 2 exons. NCBI's taxonomy places the organism in Eukaryota, Metazoa, Mollusca, Bivalvia, Mytilida, Mytilidae.
GUGGACCCUAGAGUGCAUGAAUGGUCUACUUUACAUCUACUUAAAUGUGAAUAUAAAAAUAAAAAGAUGUGGUAAGAUUGCCAAUGAGAAGAGUCCAAUUCUCCACAAGAGAUCAAAUGACAUAGAAGUUAACAAGUAUAUUAAAGUUAUGGUACAAAUGUACAAGAUGACUUCAACAAUGAACAAAGCCCAUACCAGAAAGUCAGCUAUAAAAGACAUUUAAUGGAAAUGACAAAUGUUAAACAAUGCAAAUGAAGAAACUAACAGACUGAUAAUGAUUUAUAAACAAAACAAGGAACAAAUAAACAAAUAUGAUAUACAGCAACAAGAAACAGGGCAAGUCUAGAUCUGUUGUUCUUGUUUUAAAAGAUCAAAAUAAGCCAUUUUUGCCAUAUAAAAAUAUUUAAGGCAAUUUGGCAGAUGUAUUGUAACUUCAUCUUAUUAUACAUUUGAACAUGUUAUACAUUAUUUCUUUUAGCAUUUUCAAUAAAAGUACAUUUUGUACAUGUACUUCAACAGAACAGAAUUCAUUUGAGGCCUUGCUUUCCAGAUUAUAUAAUGGAUUCAUAGAUUGUCAUAUUGAUUUAUGUGCAUAAAAGGAGCAGUAGUCAAUGAAUAAUUUUGUGAUGAGAGCUUAUUACCAUGGUUACCAAAUGAAAGGAAAGUGCAGUAUUAGAAUCACUGGUGUACAUGUAGAUGCGGAUGUCCGGCAAAAAGAACUGGUAUCAAAGUAAGUUCAUCUGUAGAAUUGCAGUUAAUUUAAAUAAUUUAAUGUUAUCUAUUUAAACCUUUUUCAAGUGUAAUUGUACAUGUUACGGCAUGUAUACUGUUGUUUAUUUAUGUCUUUCUGAUGUCAAGUAUGCAUCAAGGAAUCCUUAUCCUGCUCUCCUUCUUCUGCUCCACACACACACACGCAUGAGAUGACAGAAGUUCAAAUAUUUAUAGCAUUUGCUUAUAUUAUGAAUUGUAUAUUUAAAAGUUGUUCUCGUCUGAAAUAUACAUACAUUGUAAAAUAUUUGCCACUGAACAUUAAAAUAAGCAAAAAAAAUCAAUCGAUUAUUGUUUUUGCAUUAUAGGAAUGAGUUUUCAAACAUACAUGUAUAACAAUUGAAUAAUUUCCUUUUAAGAUUUUUUUAUGAACCAGCAUAUAGAUAUAACAUGUAUAAGGAGAUGAGGUACAUGUAUGAUUCUUAAUGUGACAACUAUCAAUUAAAAAACCAAAGGACGAAGAUGUAAACAUUUGCUGGUCACUGUACAGCCAUAAACAAUGAUCAAAAUCCAUACCAUAAAGUAACCUAUUAUGGCUAUACAUGUAACUUGUAUAAGGAUGAAAAAAUGUGAACCAAUAAAAAAAAUAAAACUACACACAGUAUGGCAGACAGCACCCAACAUAAGAACCAAAUGUCAGAAUCAGCCAGAAAGGGCUGGACUCAUCAACAAGCACUAAAAAGAAAUAACAAAAUAAUAAAAGAUGCAAAAAUUAUGUAUUCCCAAACUAAAAUAUCUAUCAGUUCACCUUCGACAGAUUUAAUCAAUUAAUGUAACAACAAAACAUUUGUCAUUUCAAACAGUCUAAGAAAGCAUGACUUUGUGUAAUGCCAAAAUAUUGAACACACAAGAAUAUGUAGGACCAUAACAGCAUAUAAGUAUUAAUAGUUGCAUAGAAUUUCAAUUUCUGAAAUACAUGUUCUGCUUUUUGUCAAGCUUGCAAAUUUAUUUCACGAAAGCGAGACAGUGAUCCUAGAUUCUGCCAGAGGCGGCGUCGCUGUCCUAAAAUUUAGGUUCAGUCUGUGGUUAAAUUUUUUUUGAACAUUGAUAACUUUGUCAAACAGACAUGGGAUUUUGUGAAAUUGAGACAGAAUAUUUGAAGUUUCUUAAUGACCAAACUACAGUAUCCAAGGCAAAAUUUUUCUGUAUUUCAACUAAUAAAUGGGCUUAGUUUUUUUGAUGAGCUUGCGACUUCCGUUGCAGAAAGCUCGACAUAGGGAUAUUGAUCAGGCGGCUGCGUCCAUGGUGGGGUUAACAAACUUCUUCAAAUCUUUAUAUUUUAGAAGGUGGAAGACACGGAUGCUUCAUACUAUGUACAAUGUAUAUAGAUGCAUAUGUAUGUUAUGAAGUUUCUGUCAGUCAACUGUCCAUUGUCCUUGAACUCAUUUUCAUGAUUUAGUGAUUACUUGAAAAAAUAAAGAUUUUUUGUAAUGUUAAUUUCUCUCAUAAUUUCUCUCUUAUUAAUAUUAUUUAUAGUAUUCAUGGUAAUAGGAUAUUUAUAUUUACUUAGUAUAUGGGUACCUUGCAAGGUCCUAGUGUCUGUCUACUCUGUCAGAAAGUUUUUGUGGUCAAGUCAAUAUCUCAGGCAUUAUCAGCAAUAAGUCUACUGUAUUUGGUGUAUGGAAUUAUUGUAAGGUGUAGAUGUCCAACUGGUAGUUGUAAUCUGGCCUUGACCUCAUUUUAAUGGUUCAGUAAUAAGUUUUUAUGUUUUGGUCUAAUUUUUAUACGACCGCAAAAAAAAUUUUGUGGUCGUAUAUUGGUAUGACGUUGGCGUCAGCGUCGUCCGGCGUCGUCGUCCGAAGACACAUUAGUUUUCGCACUCUAACUUUAGUUUAAGUAAAUGGAUCUCGAUGAAAUUUUACCAUAAGGUUCAAUACCACAAAAGGAAGGUGGGGAUUGAUUUAGGGGGUUAUGGUACCAACAGUUAAGGAAUUAGGGGCCAAAAAGGGGCCAAAAAUAAGCAUUUUUGUAACUUCCAGACAUAACUUGUGUGUAAGUGUAUGGAUCUCUCUGACAUUAUACCACAAGGUUCCAUAUCACAAAGGGAAUGCUGGGAUUGAUUUUGGGGGUAAUUGCCUCCAAAUUUUAGGAAUUAGGGGCCAAAAAGGGGCCAAAAACAAGCAUUUUUCUACUUUCAUGACAAUAACUUGUGUGUAAGAGUAUGGAUCUUUCUGACAUUGUAUCACAAGGUUCCAUAUCACAAAGGGAAUGCUGGGAUUGAUUUUGGGGGUAAUUGCCUCCAAGUUUUAGGAAUUAGGGGUCAAAAAGGGGCAAAAAACAAGCAUUUUUUUAGUUUCAUGACAAUAACUUGUGUGUAAGUGUAUGGAUCUUUAUGAAAUUGUACUACAAGGUUCCAUAUCACAAAGGGAGAGCUGGAAUGGAGUUUGGGGGUAAUUGCCCAAAAAGUUUAGGAAAAAGGGGCCAAAAAGGGGCCAAAAAUAAGCAUUUUUCUAGUUUCCAGACAAUAACUUGUGUUCAGGUGUAUGGAUCUCUCUGAAAUUGUACUGCAAGGUACCAUACCACAAAGGGAAGGCUGGGAUUGAUUUUGGGGUUAAUUCCCUCAAAAUUUUAGGAAUUGGGGGCCAUAAAAGGGCAAAAAAACAAGCAUUUUUCUAGUUUUAGGACAAUAACUUUUGUGUAAGUGUAUGGAUCUUUAUGAAAUUGUACUGCAAGGUUCCAUAUCACAAAUUAACGGGAAAGCUGGGUUUGAGUUUGGGGGUAAUUGCCCUAAACGUUUAGGAAUUUGGGGCCAAAAAACAAGCAUUUUUCUAGUUUCCAGACAAUAACUUGUGUUCAAGUGUAUGGAUCUCUCUGAAAUUGUACUGCAAGGUACCAUACCACAAAGGGAAGGCUGGGAUUGAGUUUGGGGGUGAUGAAUCAUAAGGGGGUUCAAAAAAUUGGGGGGGGGGAUUUUUUUUUCCUUUUUUUUCUUUAAAAUUUUCAAUUUUAAAUUGGUUAUUUCUGAUUUAUAUAUAAAAGCAAAUAAUAAUGAUAUGGUUUGAAUAGGUAAAUUAAAAAAUUUUAAGUUCUUAGACCACUUUCAUUCUGUGUCAGAAACCUAUGCUGUGUCAAAUAUUUAAUUACAAUCCAAAUUCAGUGCUGUAUCAAGCUUGAAUGUUGUGUCCAUACUUGCCCCAACUGUUCAGGGUUCGACCUCUGCGGUCGUAUCAAGCUGCGCCCCAGCGGAGCAUUUUAUUGGAUACUAUAAGCAUUCAGUAAAUUAUAUUUGGUGUAUGGAAUGUUUGUAAGGUGUACUGAUCUAAAAUUGAGAAUGGAAAUGGGGAAUGUGUCAAAGAGACAACAACCCGACCAAAGAGCAAAAAACAGCCAAAGGCCACCAAUGGGUCUGACAGUAAUCACCUAAACUUGACCUCAUCUUCAUGGUUCAUUGGAUAUUUUUUUCUUGCUUAGAGGUGAACUAUAAUUGGUUUCUGGAAUGAUUGUAAAUUAAAAUUGUAAGGUGUUUAGGUUUAACUUUACAUUUAUGUUGCAGGCUUCAUCUGACCUUAACCUUAUUUUCAUUGUUCAUUGGUCAAUAUUAAAUUUCUCUUGAUUUGGUCUUUUUUUUAGAUACUAAAAGUAAAGGUGAACUACUUUAUGUUUAUGGAAUGAUUGUAAGGUAUUUAUAUUUGUCUUGCAGGUACAAUUCUUGCCAGAUUUUUUAAAACUUAUUCUAUAGGUUAAUAUCAGCAUAAUCCUAGUCAAGCUUUAUAAAUUUGGCCGAUCAACUUUUUUCUAAAGAGUUAUGCCCCUUGGAAAUAAUAAAUUUAUGGAAAAUGGCCUCGUAAAUGCUCUCAUUUUUUGUCGAGCCUUCGACUUUUGUCGAAAAAGCGAGACAUAGCGAUCCUACAUUCCGUCGGUGUCGGCGGCGUCCAAAAAUAUUCACUCUGUGGUUAAAGUUUUUGAAAUUUUAAUAACUUUCUUAAACUAUCCUGGAUUUCUACCAAACUUGGACAGAAGCUUGUUUAUGAUCAUAAGAUAGUAUCCAGAAGUAAAUUUUGUAAAAAAAAAAUCCUGUUUUUCCGUAUUUUACUUAUAAAUGGACUUAGUUUUUCUGCCAGGAAACAUUACAUUCACUCUGUGGUUAAAGUUUUUAAAAUUUUAAUAACUUUCUCAAACUAUCCUGGAUUUGUACCAAACUUGGCCAGAUGCUUGUUUAUGAUCAUAAGAUAGUAUCCAGAAGUUAAUUUUAUUAAAAAAAAAUCCUGUUUUUCCGUAUUUUACUUAUAAAUGGACUUAGUUUUUCUGCCAGGAAACAUUACAUUCACUCUGUGGUUAAAGUUUUUAAAAUUUUAAUAACUUUCUCAAACUAUCCUGGAUUUCUACCAAACUUGGCCAGAUGCUUGUUUAUGAUCAUAAGAUAGUAUCCAGAAGUAAAUUUAAAAAAAAAAAAUCCUGUUAAUCCGUAUUUUACUUAUAAAUGGACUUAGUUUUUCUGCCAGGAAACAUUACAUUCACUCUGUGGUUAAAGUUUUUAAAAUUUUAAUAACUUUCUUAAACUAUCCUGGAUUAUAACCAAACAUGGCCAGAUGCUUGUUUAUGAUCAAAAGCUAGUAUCUAGAAGGAAAUUUUUAUUAAAAUUUUGUACUUGUUUAUCCAUAUUUUACUUAUAAAUGGACUUAGUUUUUCUUCCAGUUAACAUUACAUACAGUCUGCAGUUAAAUUUUUAAAAAUAUUUAUUAGAUUCAUAAACUAUCCUGGAUUUUUACCAAACUUGGACAGAAGCUGCUUACAAUAAAAAAAUUGUAUCGAGAGGAAUAUUUUUAUUAAAUUUUUUCCUCAUCUCAUUUUUGUUGAGCCUGCGAUUAACAGCAAAAGUAGGCAAGACACUGGGUUCCGCGGAACCCUUACGAAUUUUUUUAUUAAACUUAUACAUGUAGUAUACUAUUAUAGUAAUGCCCUGGUCGGUUUGAAAUAUUUAGUAUACAAGAAAAAGAACUUUUUUUCCCCCAAACACAUUUUUAUUUAUAAAUAUUUUUGAGAACAAAAAAUAAAAUUGAGAAUGGAAAUUGGGAAUAUGUCAAAGAGACAACAACCUGACCAAAGAGCAAAAAAACAUGUUUUUUUUAAAUAUUGCCCCUUGAUAGAUAAAAAAUGUACGACUAGUUGGACAUUGAAACUCUUUUCUUUUAUUUUUACUUGCAGAAACUGAAAAGUAAAGAAACAGAACCAAAGAACGUUAAUUUUAGAUUAAUACAAUAUUGAACUGAAAGUCAAUUUAGUUGUCUUUCUUAAUCAUACAGGAUGUUUCCAAAAAAGCAGCUGCAUACACAUGCACCAGUAAUAGCCAGCAGUGAAGACAAUUAAAUAUCUGUGUAUGGUGAUAUAGCAAUAGAAAUAUCACAUACAUCAUAGGAAAAUAGAAAUGGAGUAUGUCAAAGAGACACACAUAAUGACAUAUGAAAAUAGAAUAUAGACAAUAGAAAUGGAGUAUGUCAAAGAGACACACAUAUGAAAAUAGAAUAUAGACAAUAGAAAUGGGGUAUGUCAAAGAGAAACACAUGAAAAUAUAGAACAUAGACAAUAGAAAUAGGGUAUAUCAAAGAGACAAACAUAUGAAAAUAGAAUAUAGACAAUAGAAUUUGGGUAUGACAGAGACAAAAAUAUUAAAAAUAGAAUACAGACAAAAGAAAUGGGGUAUGCCAAAGAGACUAACAUAUGAAAAUAGAAUAUAGACAAUAGAAAUGGUGAAUGUCAAAGAAACAAACAAACCAAAAUAGAAUAUACUAGACAAUAGAAAUGUGGUAUGUCAAAGAGACAAAAAUAUGAAAAUAGAAGAGACAACAAUUUAAUAAAAAAAAAAUUCUACUUGAUAUAAAAAUUAUGGAGCACUGUUAUUUUUCUGCAUAAAAGAAUGCCUGUA